UACUUGGUCUGCUGGACAUCUACAGCAAAGAGACAGUGAAGAGCGCCAAAAAUCGACACGGCAAGCCGUGGACCCAAGAAGCCAGGAGUCACUUCCGUAGAAUAGCUGGAUGCCUCCUCGAUCAAGAAAAGAAGCAUGCUCCUCUUGACCAGCGAAUGUGGGCACAACAGGCUCCCAAGGCCUCCCUGGUAAACCAUGUCGCCACGUGGUUGUCGUACAAGGCCUAUCAGAGAAGUGUUGAAUCGGAGCAGCACCGGUGGACGCUGAGGGGUCUGGGGUUGACAUCCGAGCAACUUUUCUUCGUGUCUCACUGUGUGCCUUGGUGUUCGGACAAGAAAGACGACAUCGCGAAGCGCCAGCAGUGCGUUCAGCCUUUGCUGAACAUGCCAGAGUUUGCCAAGGCCUUCAGAUGCGGUCCCAACGAUCGGAUGUUCAGCAGCUCCAAGUGUCCGUUUCUCUAGUGGCUCUCUUGAUAAGUUGCGUCAAUGGCGAUCACGCGCGCGUUGCACUUAAGAUCUUCGUCCUGCGUGCGGCGGGAACCGACGACAUUAUAGAGACACCGCGGUCGAUAUUUAUUGUCUUAUUGAAGAUUGUGAACGUGUAAAGUCAGGUUAUUUUCGUUGUAAACACACAGUUUUUCGUGACAUUCGUAAAUAUACUUCAGAAACAACUGUAAUACAUAUGUAAUAGUUCGGUGCACUGAAUACAUUGCCUUUACACAUUGUUGUUCUUAUUAUUUUGCAAAUAAAGAAUGCCUUUACACUUCU
Long non-coding RNA from Dermacentor andersoni, 767 nucleotides. RefSeq lists it as uncharacterized. The record is from RefSeq and is a predicted model, not a curated record. Lineage: Eukaryota; Metazoa; Arthropoda; Arachnida; Ixodida; Ixodidae.